Molecule: non-coding RNA, 413 nt
Organism: Bombina bombina (fire-bellied toad)
Lineage: Eukaryota; Metazoa; Chordata; Amphibia; Anura; Bombinatoridae
Source: the annotation of a RefSeq genome assembly
CAAAGAUGAUUUCACAAAGUUAUCUGCUGAGUUUAUUGUUGCUUUUUAUCCAAGGGUCCUGGGGACAGAUUGUGUCCGGUCCACCAGAUUCUUUCACUGUGUCACCAGGAGAAAGUGUCACCAUCAAAUGUAAAACCCCUAGUACUGUUAGCAGCAGCUACUUGCACUGGUACCAACAGAAACCAGGACAAGCUCCCAAACUUCUUAUCUAUGGUACAAGCAACAAAUACACAGGGACCCCAGACAGGUUCAGUGGCAGUGGGUCUGGUACUGAUUACACUCUCACAAUCAGCAGAGUGCAAGCAGAAGAUGCAGCAGAUUAUUACUGUCAGUACUACUGGGGCAGCAAUAUAUUAACAUUUAUAUGGGGGAGCAAGAGACACCAACGUAAAAGUGGAAAUAUCUGGAGCUGA